Molecule: long non-coding RNA, 2204 nt
Organism: Callithrix jacchus (white-tufted-ear marmoset)
Lineage: Eukaryota; Metazoa; Chordata; Mammalia; Primates; Cebidae
Source: RefSeq, a predicted model, not a curated record
AUGUGGUGGUGGUAAGGGCGGGGGGGACUUUGGGAGAUAAUUAGGGCAUGAGGGUGGAGCUCUCAUGCAUAGUAUUGUGCCUUCUUUAGAAGUGACCGGAGAGCUCUCUUGCUUUCUUUUCUCCCAGUGAGGACAUAGCAAAAAGACAGUCGUCUGCAAGCCAGGAAGAGAGCCCUCACCAGACCUGACCAUGCUGGGCCCUCGUCUGGGACAUCCACCUCUGCAACUCUUGCUGGCUUCAACUGUGAGCGGGAUUCCAGGAGGAAGCAAACUCGCAGGAAUCUAGCCUUGCAGACCCAGACCGUCAAGAUCUACCUUUAUCCAGAGAGAUUUUUGAGCUUGCCACUGGGUCCCCACGGGGAGGUGGUCAGACAGUUGCAAAAGCGGCAGCAAGUGAAAAAGAGGAAGGCCCCAGCCAAGGAGCGGAACAGAGGCCGGGAGAGGCGACCCUGCCGAAGACGCGCAUGUCAGAGGGGCGUCCACAGUUGAUCAUAAUCUUUUCAAGUCCAGGAAAUUAAUCCGCAAUGGGAAAAGGAAUCUAAGAUGAAUAAAAUGAUGUCCGACAAUGUGGACAGAGCAGCACGCUAAGAAAUCUGGGUGGACAUACUUCACGGGAAGGUGUUAUGGUAGGCAGGGGCAGCUGUGGGACCAGCAACCAGGCCCCAGCCUCAGGAUGGAGGUUCUAGAAAAGGGGACCUGGCAACAGCCCUAGAACAAGAUUACUGGGCAGGAAACCAGGAUGAGAUCUGAGGUCCAGGACUCGAGUAGAGAAGUCGGGAGGGAGGAGGAUACCUCACGUAGCAAGGGAUGGUCUGUCAGUAAGUCCUUGAACUGAUUUAUUUCUUACUGGCCUCUAUUGACUGGAGACAAGGAACAGCUUUCCUGAUAGUUUCAGCCACGCGUGGAGAAAAGAAAAGGUCCGUCGUAACCCACACAAGGUAAGCCAGCGUGAAUAACCCACCAGAAGGCAAGGUGAAGUCAAGCUGAAACCAUCCCUCAGGUGCUGGACGCUGAGGAGCCCUGGAGUCCUCCUAGCCGAAGGUUAUCAAAGAAAUGCAACUUAGUAAGCCUCUUCCUUGUUGAAUUUGAAUUCAGCUAAUCUUUUUGUGAGAAGACUGUGGGGACUAACCUGCCUCUCUGCUGGCAGCAAUAAAAUGAAGUGGAAAUGCCAACAGCGUGUGUGGAUAGACAGAGACAGACAUCUGGAGCUGCUGGGGACGGAAGCUAUUUCUGUUGAGAAUAAAGGAUUCGAAGCUUCCCUCUUCCCCUGUCCCCUCCAGCUCUGAGCAUUUCUUUCCUGAAAAGUUUUCUCUUCUUUCUUGUUCAUAGAAUAUAAAGCAUGUUUAGAAAAAAGAUAUAAUAAUAAGGGUUGAUGACAGGGGAAGUUCACUCCUGAAUAUCUUCCUCCACGAUUCAUUGGUUUGGGAUUGCAACCUGCUUUUUCCAUUGCUGUCAUUCUUCAUAGUCAGAUGUUUGCCAAAUUGUCCAGAGCAGCUAGACCCCAAAUCUAAAACUGCUAUAGUAGAAGACUCUCCCCCAUUGGUCCCUGGAAGCACAUCCAUGGAAUGCCAUUGGAAAACUGCCACUGGAGGGCAUUAGACAUCAUUUAAUUUGCUCCAUCAUGACGUUUGACCUCUGAAUUCAUUUCACAUGGGUGACCAGGCUAGUCCCAUGGUCAACCUCAGAUGUUUACUGAUCUAUUUCUAGGUGCGCAAAACAGUGCAAGGUUUGCAGAUACAAGGCAAUCCUUUAAGGGACUCACAAUCUAGUUGGGACACAUGUAUAAAAAGAUAACAACUACGAUAGGUUCCAAUUAAAGUAGCACAUUGUGUGUAAAAGCCACAGCAACACAGCUCUCUGGGGCAGCAAGCAUUUUGCAGAAGCAGAGAGAACUCUCCCAAGAAGGUGAAUGUCACAGUCUUCUUACACACUCUGCUGCUCUAAGUCUCACUUCUUCUUGGCUAACCAUAGGAAUGAACCACGUUUUUCAUGAUUCAAAAUAUUAAACAGUUAGGAUAUGCCCAAUUUAUACUACUUAGGGAUUGAGCCACCUGGUUUUCCCCAAAGCUGUUUCUACAGACCAGGAGCUAUAAUCUCUUUUUUCCCCUAGCUUAUAAAUAAAAUAACAUGAAUAACAUGUAAACAAAAAUAGAAUAUGAUCAUUCAUUCAUUCGUCCAUUCAAGAAGCACUUAGAGGACUUGGC